RNAcentral lists this ribosomal RNA (492 nucleotides) under uncultured bacterium. RNAcentral's name for it is "partial 16S ribosomal RNA". It matches the Rfam family "Bacterial small subunit ribosomal RNA", at positions 29 to 507 of the family's 1533-position model. The record is from RNAcentral.
AGUGAACGCUGGCGGUAGGCCUAACACAUGCAAGUCGAACGGCAGCACAGUAAGAGCUUGCUCUUACGGGUGGCGAGUGGCGGACGGGUGAGGAAUACAUCGGAAUCUACUUUUUCGUGGGGGAUAACGUAGGGAAACUUACGCUAAUACCGCAUACGACCUACGGGUGAAAGCAGGGGAUCUUCGGACCUUGCGCGAUUGAAUGAGCCGAUGUCGGAUUAGCUAGUUGGCGGGGUAAAGGCCCACCAAGGCGACGAUCCGUAGCUGGUCUGAGAGGAUGAUCAGCAACACUGGAACUGAGACACGGUCCAGACUCCUACGGGCGGCAGCAGUGGGGAAUAUUGGACAAUGGGCGCAAGCCUGAUCCAGCCAUACCGCGUGGGUGAAGAAGGCCUUCGGGUUGUAAAGCCCUUUUGUUGGGAAAGAAAAGCAGCAGGUUAAUACCCCGCUGUUCUGACGGUACCCAAAGAAUAAGCACCGGCUAACUUCGUG